This 393-nucleotide ribosomal RNA is filed under the name uncultured bacterium. RNAcentral's name for it is "partial 16S ribosomal RNA". It matches the Rfam family "Bacterial small subunit ribosomal RNA", at positions 523 to 918 of the family's 1533-position model. The record is from RNAcentral.
AUACGGAGGAUCCAAGCGUAAUCCGGAUUAAUUGGGUUUAAAGGGUGCGUAGGCGGACUGGCACGUCAGCUGUGUAAGUUUGCGGCUUAACCGUAAAUUUGCGGUUGAUACUGUCAGUCUUGAGUGUGCAUGAGGUGGGCGGAAUUUGUGGUGUAGCGGUGAAAUGCUUAGAUAUCACGAGGAACUCCAAUUGCGAAGGCAGCUCACUGGGGCAUAACUGACGCUGAUGCACGAAGGUGUGGGUAUCAAACAGGAUUAGAUGCCCUGGUAGUCCACACAGUAAACUAUGAAUACUCGCUGUUUGCGAUAUACAGUAAGCGGCCAAGCGAAAGCAUUAAGUAUUCCACCUGGGGAGUACGCCGGCAACGGUGAAACUCAAAGGAAUUGACGGGG